CUUGCUGGCAUCUGGCAACCCUGUGCAGGAGGUGAGAAGACGACGAUAGCGCCAGCGGUUUCCAGAAGUUGAUGCUGGUGAAAAGUGGAUGACAGUGUCCUGCCUAAUCAAUCCGAUUUUUUUCCUGCACAAUAACUAUGUGUUACUGAUUUCGCGCACUUUUUGGUCCUUUUCGAUGCUGAUGUGAAGGAGUGGUGUCGUCGUGCCUGAUCAAUCCAGCUUUUCUUUAAAAUAACCGGUGACUGACAUUACCUCACAUCGGAAAAGAACAGCUCUUAAGGGAUUGCCAAUUUUUCUGCGUGAGAAGCCAGCAUGUUUACUCAAGAUGUGCCUGGUAAAUUACCAUUUCCAUUUCUAAAUCCUUUUUUAUACUAUAUUUUACAUGUAUUCAGGUUACUUACACAACAACGAUGAUGAUAAUAAUUAUUGUUAUAUGUAAAUGUACAUUUCCAUUAAUACCCCCCCCCCCCAAAAAAAUGAAAGUUCUUUCAUCUUUUACUCACCCCCAAAUUCACACAGGUUUAGAACAAUGUGGGGGUGAGUAAAUGAUAAAACAACUUUCAUUUUUGUGUGAACUAUCUCUUUAAGGCAAAGGUUGUAACAAGUGAAUGCUUAACAUUAAUGAAUGCAUUGAAAGAAAAUAGUAUUGUUUUUUUAGUCGUUUUUGUGGGAAUUAUCCCUUGAGGCUGGAGUUUCUCCUAGAGUUUUUUUUUUUUUUGGGUCGAAUUAAUUGUGUUUGAUUUCUAUGUAGACACUGGUACGUCCAAGGAUCUAGGUCAGUGGAUUACAGGCAUAUCAUUGCAAUUUUCAAUGUUGUUCUGACAAAAAAGUGCUGUGCAUUUAUAACAGCUGAGUAAUGUUUGUGGUUUACUCAGAUGCUUUCAAUUGUUUUGGGUUCUUGGACACAAUAGUAACUUGGUUUUGAGGAACUCUUAGGUUGAUGUUAAAUUAUGCAAUACAGUAGUUUUCACAUAAUUGUUCCUUUAAAAAUCAACCAAAAAUGUUAAAUACAUGUGAAAAUGUGCCUCAUGCCACAAGACAGCUAACGUAUUAUGGUGUACUUAACACUGUGGAUUUCUCUAACAUGCAUUUGUACCAUGCAUGGAGUUAAGUGUAAAAUGCAUAGAGUAAAGAAGUUAAAAUGCAAAGUCUGCCAUACAGACUUGGUA
Xyrauchen texanus (razorback sucker) is the source of this 1169-nucleotide long non-coding RNA. RefSeq lists it as uncharacterized. Lineage: Eukaryota; Metazoa; Chordata; Actinopteri; Cypriniformes; Catostomidae. The transcript has 3 exons. The record is from RefSeq and is a predicted model, not a curated record.